RNAcentral lists this ribosomal RNA (908 nucleotides) under uncultured bacterium. RNAcentral describes it as "bacterial SSU rRNA". It matches the Rfam family "Bacterial small subunit ribosomal RNA", at positions 33 to 932 of the family's 1533-position model. The record is from RNAcentral.
ACGCUAGCUACAGGCUUAACACAUGCAAGUCGAGGGGAAACGGCAUUAAGUGCUUGCACUUUUUGGACGUCGACCGGCGCACGGGUGAGUAACGCGUAUCCAACCUUCCCAUGACUAAGGGAUAACCUGCCGAAAGACAGACUAAUACCUUAUGGUCUUCACUGACGGCAUCAGAUGUGAAGUAAAGAUUUAUCGGUCAUGGAUGGGGAUGCGUCUGAUUAGCUUGUUGGCGGGGUAACGGCCCACCAAGGCAACGAUCAGUAGGGGUUCUGAGAGGAAGGUCCCCCACAUUGGAACUGAGACACGGUCCAAACUCCUACGGGAGGCAGCAGUGAGGAAUAUUGGUCAAUGGGCGAGAGCCUGAACCAGCCAAGUAGCGUGCAGGAUGACGGCCCUAUGGGUUGUAAACUGCUUUUGUAUGGGGAUAAAGUCAGUCACGUGUGAUUGUUUGCAGGUACCAUACGAAUAAGGACCGGCUAAUUCCGUGCCAGCAGCCGCGGUAAUACGGAAGGUCCGGGCGUUAUCCGGAUUUAUUGGGUUUAAAGGGAGCGUAGGCUGGAGAUUAAGUGUGUUGUGAAAUGUAGACGCUCAACGUCUGACUUGCAGCGCAUACUGGUUUCCUUGAGUACGCACAACGUUGGCGGAAUUCGUCGUGUAGCGGUGAAAUGCUUAGAUAUGACGAAGAACUCCGAUUGCGAAGGCAGCUGACGGGAGCGCAACUGACGCUGAAGCUCGAAGGUGCGGGUAUCGAACAGGAUUAGAUACCCUGGUAGUCCGCACAGUAAACGAUGGAUGCCCGCUGUUGGUACCUGGUAUCAGCGGCUAAGCGAAAGCAUUAAGCAUCCCACCUGGGGAGUACGCCGGCAACGGUGAAACUCAAAGGAAUUGACGGGGGCCCGCACAAGCGG